Molecule: long non-coding RNA, 761 nt
Filed under: Rattus norvegicus (Norway rat)
Lineage: Eukaryota; Metazoa; Chordata; Mammalia; Rodentia; Muridae
Description: long non-coding RNA NONRATT023839
Source: RNAcentral
UUAGUCAUCAUUGACAUGGAGAGUGCCUUUGAUCCUAUCCCCUCAGCAGCCAGUUCCUGCCCCUGUGGUCAAAAUGCCCCAGGUUGGGGGACAGAGAAGCCCCUGAGAUAGUUUCAGAGGGAAUCUACAACAAACUGUGAUGAACUUUGUUUUGCCAGUCAAAAUUUAGAAUUCAGGCUUUGGCUGUGGCCAAGGUCAGGAUUAAUGUUUUCUUUUCCAUGGACCUUUAGCCCACUGAGACAGUUUGGUAAAGGGCUGCUACUGAGGUCCUGAAAGUCCCAGGUGAACUGGUUACAAUUCUUUUGUCAGCCACUUGGCAUCUAGCACCCAGGUCCUAACCAUCUCUCCAUCCUUUUGUUAUUAGUUCUUAAGUCCAGAGAGAUAGUCGGUAACAGAUCAGCUCCCUCUCUGCUUGCCGUUCUGUUUCACAGACACAAAGCUUGUGCUUAUUUUUACAACGGCCUUUUUAUCCCAAAAAGUCCUCCUGGUUUAGCUGUAUGACUAAAUGCUAUUUGUCCUCUUCAGUGAACCUCUAUUCUCUAGAUUCUCUUCUUGUUUUCUCACAUCCCAUUUGAGAUGCUUGUUAGUAACUGUUACAGGUCUUCUUUACCACUGAGGAAAGACGGAAUCCUACUGGAGGCCAGAAAGAAUGUUCCAGACAUGGAUGGAAGACCCUCACUCCUGACUGUUGACUUGAAUACCCCUGAAGGUAGGGAGUGCUCCAGGUCUGCCACCAGGCUCCAAGGGUGGGUCUCUGAGGG